This 64-nucleotide transfer RNA is filed under the name Oedaleus asiaticus. RNAcentral describes it as "tRNA-Gly". Lineage: Eukaryota; Metazoa; Arthropoda; Insecta; Orthoptera; Acrididae. The record is from RNAcentral.
AUUUUUCUAGUAUAAAUAGUACAUUUGACUUCCAAUCAAAAAGAUUGAAACAUCAAGAAAAAUA